GAAGUCCGCCAGACCGUCGCUGCCCCCGCCUCGUGCGGGGGGAGAGGAAAGUCCGGGCUCCGCAGAGCAGGAUGCCGGGUAACGCCCGGCCGCAGCAGCCGCGGCUUCGCCGCCGCGGUCAAGGCGAGGAACAGGGCCACAGAGACGAGUCGCCCCGGGUCACACCGGGGCGGGUGAAACGCGGCAACCUCCAUCCGGAGCAACGCCAAGUAGGCGGACCAUGACGCUGCUCGCGUCGUCCGCGGGUAGGCGGCUCGAGCCCACCGGCAACGGUGGGCCUAGAGGAAUGACGGCCAUAGCGCCCUUUCGGGGGCGCCGUAACAGAACCCGGCUUACCGGCGGACUUCGACU
RNAcentral lists this RNase P RNA (351 nucleotides) under Betaproteobacteria bacterium. RNAcentral's name for it is "RNase P RNA component class A". It matches the Rfam family "Bacterial RNase P class A". From Rfam's summary of the family: Ribonuclease P (RNase P) is a ubiquitous endoribonuclease, found in archaea, bacteria and eukarya as well as chloroplasts and mitochondria. Its best characterised activity is the generation of mature 5'-ends of tRNAs by cleaving the 5'-leader elements of precursor-tRNAs. The record is from RNAcentral. Lineage: Bacteria; Pseudomonadati; Pseudomonadota; Betaproteobacteria.